CCUACGGGAGGCAGCAGUGGGGAAUAUUGCACAAUGGGGGAAACCCUGAUGCAGCGACGCCGCGUGAGUGAAGAAGUAUUUCGGUAUGUAAAGCUCUAUCAGCAGGGAAGAAGAAAGACGGUACCUGACUAAGAAGCCCCGGCUAACUACGUGCCAGCAGCCGCAGUAAUACGUAGGGGGCAAGCGUUAUCCGGAUUUACUGGGUGUAAAGGGAGCGUAGACGGCUGUGCAAGUCUGAAGUGAAAGCCCAGGGCUCAACCCUGGGACUGCUUUGGAAACUGUGGAGCUAGAGUGCUGGAGUACAGGAGGGGCAGGCGGAAUUCCUAGUGUAGCGGUGAAAUGCGUAGAUAUUAGGAGGAACACCGGUGGCGAAGGCGGCCUGCUGGACUGUGACUGACGUUGAGGCCCGAAGGCGUGGGGAGCAAACAGGAUUAGAUACCCGAGUAGUC
Molecule: ribosomal RNA, 449 nt
Filed under: uncultured bacterium
Lineage: Bacteria
Description: partial 16S ribosomal RNA
Rfam family: Bacterial small subunit ribosomal RNA
Source: RNAcentral